UACGUAGGGCGCAAGCGUUAUCCGGAAUUAUUGGGCGUGAAGAGCUCGUAGGCGGUUUGUCGCGUCUGCCGUGAAAGUCCGGGGCUCAACUCCGGAUCUGCGGUGGGUACGGGCAGACUAGAGUGAUGUAGGGGAGACUGGAAUUCCUGGUGUAGCGGUGAAAUGCGCAGAUAUCAGGAGGAACACCGAUGGCGAAGGCAGGUCUCUGGGCAUUAACUGACGCUGAGGAGCGAAAGCAUGGGGAGCGAACAGG
Molecule: ribosomal RNA, 253 nt
Filed under: uncultured bacterium
Lineage: Bacteria
Description: partial 16S ribosomal RNA
Rfam family: Bacterial small subunit ribosomal RNA
Source: RNAcentral